UGGGGAAUUUUGGACAAUGGGGGCAACCCUGAUCCAGCAAUGCCGCGUGUGUGAAGAAGGCCUUCGGGUUGUAAAGCACUUUUGUCCGGAAAGAAAACGCCGUGGUUAAUACCCGUGGCGGAUGACGGUACCGGAAGAAUAAGCACCGGCUAACUACGUGCCAGCAGCCGCGGUAAUACGUAGGGUGCAAGCGUUAAUCGGAAUUACUGGGCGUAAAGCGUGCGCAGGCGGUCCGCUAAGACAGAUGUGAAAUCCCCGGGCUUAACCUGGGAACUGCAUUUGUAACUGGCGGGCUAGAGUAUGGCAGAGGGGGGUAGAAUUCCACGUGUAGCAGUGAAAUGCGUAGAGAUGUGGAGAAUACCGAUGGCGAAGGCAGCCCCUGGCCAAUACUGAGCUCAUGCACGAAAGCGUGGGGAGCAAACAGGAUUAGAUACCCUGGUAGUCCACGCCCU
RNAcentral lists this ribosomal RNA (452 nucleotides) under uncultured bacterium. RNAcentral describes it as "partial 16S ribosomal RNA". It matches the Rfam family "Bacterial small subunit ribosomal RNA", at positions 355 to 803 of the family's 1533-position model. The record is from RNAcentral.